Molecule: long non-coding RNA, 2068 nt
Organism: Hyla sarda
Lineage: Eukaryota; Metazoa; Chordata; Amphibia; Anura; Hylidae
Exons: 3
Source: RefSeq, a predicted model, not a curated record
GUACAUAGUAGGCAUUUGCUUACUUUUUCAAUUUCUUCAAAGAAGGUAUCAAUGAAGUCCCUCCUGACCGCAGGGUCCCAGGUGUCUCUGUGUUUCUGGAUGAUUGCUCUUAGGAAGUCUAGUACACAUCACAGUGAUGUCUAGUGGUACGCCCCCCGCACCUGAGAGCUUUGACUCUCCCUCCCCGCACCUCCAGCUAAGGACUUGCCGUCUGCUGUAUGGACACUUGGAAUAAAGCAUUGUUUGGCAAAUACUUCUCAGUGGGUUACUUCAUGCUUACACUGGCUUCUGCAAUGUUCUGAGUCACCUUGUUACCUGCCGCCAUACGAUGAUGUAAUGCAAAUCUAAAACAUGAAAUAAGAUUGUGCAACAUAUCUGAAACUCAAAUGAACAACAAUUUAUUUCAGAUCACUUAAGUUCACUCUGUAUUUUCAAAGCUGCAUGAGAAAGGUCAUGGGCAGCGGGGAAAGUGCUGCCCUUGAAAUGAUGUCUACCUGAGGGUCAGCAGGGAGACUGCAAUGUCCAGUGUCAAGUCAGAUAACCAGAUAUGUGGAGAAAGAAGAGGGAUCUGGGAAAGUAGGAUUAGUGCCAUGGGGCUCUCAAAUGCAAAUAAAAGUGUAAGCGUUCACACAAAAAAAGUGCAUGAGGAUGCGGUCCAUUGCAAGCCCUUCUCCGAAAGGAGAGAGAGGCCCCCCAACAAACCGAACCCUUCGCCUCCAGGCCAAAAGGCACCUGCAAGGUUCCAGGUACAAUGUCCCCUUUUGCCGGCACUACUAAGGGACAGAAAAGAGCUCCUGACGAACUUCUAGCCAUUAACCAAGUUGCCAAAUAGGAACCAGUAAAACCAGUUCGGCAUUCCUGCUUCGGCUAUGGCAGGGAGGUGAGGAACCUAAUGGCCACACACACCUCCCCCUAGACCUGCAGGACGGACACCCUUUAGGGCUACCGCACCAUGACCAAAUCUUAGUGUAUAUAAAAGAAACAAAAAUGUGAGCACAGACAAAACAUAAAGAGUAAAGUAGUGGAUGUGCAAAGUGUGAUACUGCCCGGACAUCCGGCCGGAUCUAUAAAAAUUCCUCUGUUGAUCAACAGCCAGAAGGCCGGAAAGCUAGAGGUGAGUGCUGAGAAGAGUGAGAGAAAAAGUGGUUGCUGCAAGCCAUCAGUCAAGUGGGGUCACUACUCCCAGGUGAGUUCCGAUACCCUGGGGUCACCACCCCCAGGGCACUAUUGCACCCGGGCUCUUACCCUACCUGAUCCAGAAGAUACAGGUCCCCUCAGGGCCCACUGCACGGACAUACAACUGACCCCAAUACACCUGCACCAUUCUGGGUGGUUCCCAUAUCCUGUCUUGGUAGUCUUCCACACCACCAACUAACAGGAAGGUACUACACCGAAUCUUAGCCAAAAUGCCAAGAAAAGCCACUAGGACAGGUAGGAUGGGUAUCUUGAAAAGCUAAAAGAGACCUCAAGCUAAAGACCUAGCAGACAUAGUGAGAUCUUUGCUGGAUCAGAAUGGUCCUCAUUUGGGAUAAUGGACUGUACAUAGUUUUGGACUGUUGUACUGUUUAGCUAUCAAUAUCUUCCCAUGAUAGGACUCUGCCCGUGUAUAUUUUUUGUGUAAAGUUUUUUUCAGUGUCCUGCACUGUCCGCCUGCCAUUAUUUCUGCCCCAUUACACCCUCCUGCUCUUUACAAUCCUAGGCUUUUCAUUCAGAAUGGCCUCCCCCAGCUUUAUGUUCUUGUCACGCAGGUAAAAUAAAUCAGGACUGCUUAUAUAACCCUUCUCACCCAAGCUGCGGGCCAUGUAUGAGUAUAUGCCAGGAGAAUAUUCUUAGGAGUUGGUACGUAAUGAAACCCUGGACUGCCCUAUGCAUGGAUUAAAGCCUUCUCUUCCCACUCUAUUCCAGGUUUGGCACAUCCACUCAAAACAAAUGUCAUUAUCUGCCACAAUACAUCCUAAGUUUCAUGGGUAUGUAACACGCCUCUCAAAUUAUAUUAUUCUGUUGCUGUCCAUUCUCCAUUCUCAAUAUCUGAUAAUGCAUUCCCUUAAAUAUCCAGUGUGGCUUAACA